This 392-nucleotide ribosomal RNA is filed under the name uncultured bacterium. RNAcentral's name for it is "partial 16S ribosomal RNA". It matches the Rfam family "Bacterial small subunit ribosomal RNA", at positions 523 to 918 of the family's 1533-position model. The record is from RNAcentral.
AUACGGAAGGUCCGGGCGUUAUCCGGAUUUAUUGGGUUUAAAGGGAGCGCAGGCGGAGAUGCAAGCGUGACGUCAAAUUUCGGGGCUCAACCCCGUCUCGCGUCGCGAACUGCGUCCCUUGGUUGCGGGAAGGGGAGGCGGAACUCGUGGUGUAGCGGUGAAAUGCAUAGAUAUCACGAAGAACUCCGAUCGCGAAGGCAGCCUUCCGGCCCGUCAACGACGCUCAUGCACGAAAGUGCGGGGAUCGAACAGGAUUAGAUACCCUGGUAGUCCGCACAGUAAACGAUGAAUACUUGUUUUCGGCGAUAUAAUGUCGGAGGCAAAGCGAAAGCGAUAAGUAUUCCACCUGGGGAGUACGCCGGCAACGGUGAAACUCAAAUGAAUUGGCGGGG